Molecule: small RNA, 2169 nt
Filed under: Pan troglodytes (chimpanzee)
Lineage: Eukaryota; Metazoa; Chordata; Mammalia; Primates; Hominidae
Description: retained intron
Source: RNAcentral
AGGACAUUUCUGAUUUAUUUGCAUCCUUGAAGAGCAUCUGUAGAAGAGGAAGUAAAAGAUGGGUGUGAAAACAUUUACUCAUAGCUCCUCUUCCCACAGCCAGGAAAUGCUUGGAAAGCUAAAUAUGCUGCGAAAUGAUGGACAUUUUUGUGAUAUCACUAUUCGUGUCCAGGACAAAAUCUUCCGGGCACAUAAGGUGGUACUAGCAGCUUGCAGUGAUUUCUUUCGCACCAAACUUGUAGGCCAAGCCGAGGAUGAGAACAAGAAUGUGUUGGAUCUGCAUCAUGUUACAGUGACUGGCUUUAUACCUCUUUUAGAAUAUGCUUACACAGCCACUCUAUCAAUUAACACAGAAAAUAUUAUUGAUGUUCUAGCAGCAGCCAGCUAUAUGCAAAUGUUCAGUGUUGCCAGCACCUGCUCAGAGUUCAUGAAAUCAAGCAUUUUAUGGAAUACACCCAACAGCCAACCUGAAAAGGGUCUAGAUGCUGGACAAGAAAAUAAUUCUAACUGCAAUUUUACUUCUCGAGAUGGGAGCAUUUCUCCCGUGUCCUCAGAGUGCAGUGUGGUAGAAAGAACGAUUCCUGUCUGCCGAGAAUCCCGAAGAAAGCGCAAAAGCUACAUUGUUAUGUCUCCUGAAAGUCCUGUAAAGUGUGGCACACAAACAAGCUCACCCCAGGUAUUGAAUUCUUCAGCUUCCUACUCAGAAAAUAGAAACCAACCAGUUGACUCUUCCUUAGCUUUUCCUUGGACUUUUCCUUUUGGAAUUGAUCGAAGGAUUCAGCCUGAGAAAGUUAAGCAAGCAGAAAAUACCCGGACUUUAGAAUUACCUGGCCCAUCUGAGACCGGUAGAAGAAUGGCUGAUUAUGUGACUUGUGAGAGCACAAAAACUACCUUGCCUUUAGGUACCGAAGAAGAUGUCCGGGUCAAAGUAGAAAGAUUAAGUGAUGAGGAGGUCCACGAGGAAGUGUCCCAGCCUGUCAGUGCAUCUCAGAGUUCACUGAGUGAUCAGCAGACAGUUCCAGGAAGUGAACAAGUCCAAGAGGACCUUCUGAUUAGUCCACAGUCUUCCUCUAUAGGCUCAGUAGAUGAAGGCGUUUCUGAGGGGUUGCCUACACUUCAAAGCACGUCUAGCACUAAUGCUCCUCCGGAUGAUGAUGAUCGGUCAGUACUAACAUAGCAUUUCGUUACCUCUUAAGGGUUGUGUUUACAACUCCAAAUUCAAGCAUUUCAUCUCAAGAGUUGUAGAAGUUUAUUACAACCUCACUUCAGUAUACUUUUCAAAGUAAUGAAGUAGCAUCAUCACAUUAUAAAUUAGAGUACCUAUACAAGGCUUUUUUUUUUCCCCCAGCAUUUCCAAAACUACCUAGUCCCAUUGCUUUAAAUUGUAUCUGUACCAAGUGUUGGCAAACUAUGAACCACAGGCCAAUUCCAGCCUACCACCUUUAUUUGUAAAUCAAGUAUUACUGGAACACAACCAGGCUCAUUUGCUGACAUAUUGUUUGUGGAUGGCAGAGUUGAGUGGUUGAAACAGACUGUAUGGUGUGCAAAGUCAGAAUGUGUGCUGUACGGACUGCUGUGAAAAACAUCUGCCAAAGUCUGAUCUGUAUACCCAUAACUCCCUCCCUGCUUGAUAUUUCCACAUAAAUGUAUAAAGGGCAUUUCACAUUUAACAAGGCCAAGACAGAACUCUUGAUUUCUAACUCCUUGUCUGAAUCCUGCUUCUCCAGCCUUUCUCCCAUUUCAGUAAGCAUCAGUAAGCAUCAUCAUUAUCCCCUAAUUUCUCAAGCAAAAUCUCUGAGGAUUAUUCUUAAUCUUUUUUCCUUACCACUCUUCAUCUCCCUCGUAGUUAAUCCUUAAGUCCUGUCAACUCUGCCUAUAAAAUAUAUCCCUGUCUACUUUUCUAAUCUGUACUGUAGCCACCCUACUGUAAGUCACCACCAUCUUUUGCCUUGACUACUGCAAUAACCUUCAAAGUAGCCUCUGAUUGCAUUCUUCCCCUAAUCCAUUUUCCAUAUAGCAGCCAAAAUCAUCUUUUCUUUUUUAAUUAAGUCAGAUUAUGUCACUGUUUUAAGCUAUAGAUUCUUAACAUUCUUUAUUCCUACCUAAAAUCUAUAGGCCUUGCUAUGCCUUCUAAAGCCCUACACGAUAUGACUUCUGCCUAACUCCGUC